GAUGAACGCUGGCGGUGUGCCUAAUACAUGCAAGUCAAGCGAACAGACGAGGAGCUUGCUCCUCUGACGUUAGCGGCGGACGGGUGAGUAACACGUGGAUAACCUACCUAUAAGACUGGGAUAACUUCGGGAAACCGGAGCUAAUACCGGAUAAUAUAUUGAACCGCAUGGUUCAAUAGUGAAAGACGGUUUUGCUGUCACUUAUAGAUGGAUCCGCGCCGCGUUAGCUAGUUGGUAAGGUAACGGCUUACCAGGGAAACGAUGCGUAGCCGACCUGAGAGGUGAUCGGCCACACUGGAACUGAGACACGGUCCAGACUCCUACGGGAGGCAGCAGUAGGGAAUCUUCCGCAAUGGGCGAAAGCCUGACGGAGCAACGCCGCGUGAGUGAUGAAGGUCUUCGGAUCGUAAAACUCUGUUAUUAGGGAAGAACAAAUGUGUAAGCAACUAUGCACGUCUUGACGGUACCUAAUCAGAAAGCCACGGCUAACUACGUG
RNAcentral lists this ribosomal RNA (496 nucleotides) under uncultured bacterium. Its description in RNAcentral is "partial 16S ribosomal RNA". It matches the Rfam family "Bacterial small subunit ribosomal RNA", at positions 28 to 507 of the family's 1533-position model. The record is from RNAcentral.